CCAACUGCCUGGGUGUGCUCAGGGAAGAGCUAAGGCAGGGUGCCAGAGCUCAGCAAACUGGGCAUGAGGCCUGUGGCCAGAGCCCCACCCACAGCCCCCUGUCCUUCUAGGGAGGAGAGCAUGCUGCUCCUCCUCACAGGUCAUAGCUCCCCAGGAAAAAGGAACACUCCCCAGCCACCAGUUCUAAAACCAAAUCUUUAUUCUCUAGUUUGAAAAGAGGGGUAAAUGGUUGUUCUGUUUAGUUCCAGAGAACAGAACAAGGCCCAAUAGGUAGAAAUUAUAGGAAAGCGAAAUUCAUUCAUUAUCAGGAAGGAUUUCUAACAAUUAGAAUGUCUAACAAUUAGAAUCAUCCAGGGCCUUAGGAGGUGGGGAGGUCCCUGUGACCUAAGUGCUCAGGCAGAGCCCAGGUGUCCAUAUGCUAGAAAUGGUGAAAAGGAAAUUCAUCGGUAACUUCCCUUCAGCUGACCCUCCACCACCAAUGGGGCAGUCCUUUCCACAACAUGCUGAGCUCUGGAAGGAGUGGAGGGGCUGGGGUGUGCAGACACGAGCCUGAGUCUGGACACAGCGCCACAGACAGCCAGGGGAGGCUCUCAGCGCUGGGAGGGGCGACAGAUAUAGCAAGACAGACCAAGGAGGAAAUGCCUUGGGGGUUUGCUCUUUGGGAAGGAAGAGGAUGGAAGUGCUAACAGCAGAUGGUUCUCUCCAAGUCUGAGUGCCUACACAGGGGGCAGGAGGGAGGGGAUGGGAGAGGUAAGAGUGGCUUGGCUUCACUUCUUGCUGCUGGCAAAGGCCCAAGUGCUGUCU
This is a long non-coding RNA of Sapajus apella (tufted capuchin), 804 nucleotides long. RefSeq lists it as uncharacterized. The transcript is spliced from 2 exons. Lineage: Eukaryota; Metazoa; Chordata; Mammalia; Primates; Cebidae. The record is from RefSeq and is a predicted model, not a curated record.